This 174-nucleotide long non-coding RNA is filed under the name Monodelphis domestica (gray short-tailed opossum). RNAcentral's name for it is "lncRNA (ENSMODG00000038614.1)". The record is from RNAcentral. Lineage: Eukaryota; Metazoa; Chordata; Mammalia; Didelphimorphia; Didelphidae.
UUUAAAAUGCACAAGGCCUGGCCAUCUGCAUUCUCUUUCACCUAAAAGAAGACAAAAAAGACACAAAAUGACAAAAGUCACAGCAUGGCAUGUACUCCCAACUUUAGCUCAAAUCCAGUGAUAAAGUAGAGAACAAGGAAUACAAGAUGAAAGCAUGUGAUAGCUCUAUUGUGA